This 253-nucleotide ribosomal RNA is filed under the name uncultured bacterium. RNAcentral describes it as "partial 16S ribosomal RNA". It matches the Rfam family "Bacterial small subunit ribosomal RNA", at positions 524 to 776 of the family's 1533-position model. The record is from RNAcentral.
UACGAAGGGGGCUAGCGUUGUUCGGAAUUACUGGGCGUAAAGCGUGCGCAGGCGGCUAUCCAAGUCAGGCGUGAAAGCCCCGGGCUUAACCUGGGAGGUGCGUCUGGGACUGGGUGGCUAGAGUUCGGGAGAGGAGAGUGGAAUUCCCAGUGUAGAGGUGAAAUUCGUAGAUAUUGGGAAGAACACCGGUGGCGAAGGCGGCUCUCUGGACCGAGACUGACGCUGAGGCGCGAAAGCGUGGGGAGCAAACAGG